GUGGGGAAUUUUGGACAAUGGGCGCAAGCCUGAUCCAGCAAUGCCGCGUGCAGGAAGAAGGCCUUCGGGUUGUAAACUGCUUUUGUACGGAACGAAACGGUCCUGGCUAAUACCCGGGGCUAAUGACGGUACCGUAAGAAUAAGCACCGGCUAACUACGUGCCAGCAGCCGCGGUAAUACGUAGGGUGCGAGCGUUAAUCGGAAUUACUGGGCGUAAAGCGUGCGCAGGCGGUGCUGUAAGACAGGCGUGAAAUCCCCGGGCUCAACCUGGGAAUUGCGCUUGUGACUGAAGGGCUGGAGUGCGGCAGAGGGGGAUGGAAUUCCGCGUGUAGCAGUGAAAUGCGUAGAUAUGCGGAGGAACACCGAUGGCGAAGGCAAUCCCCUGGGCCUGCACUGACGCUCAUGCACGAAAGCGUGGGGAGCAAACAGGAUUAGAUACCCCAGUAGUCC
Molecule: ribosomal RNA, 450 nt
Filed under: uncultured bacterium
Lineage: Bacteria
Description: partial 16S ribosomal RNA
Rfam family: Bacterial small subunit ribosomal RNA
Source: RNAcentral